UUAAAGAGUACAUACUAUAAGCAUUAAGGGAAAAAUACUGUGGAGCUACAGUCAGAAAAACACAAGACUCAGCAGUAGCCCCAACAUUAAAAGAACACAGGUCUUAGAAAGAACAAGGCUUUCAACCAUGAGUAAUAUAUCCAGAAAGGAUGAGCAUAAGUAUAAAAAGGAAAACCUCAUCUAUGGCUCUUGGGAAUAGCAUCAUUGCUUGGCUAUUUUGAAUGUACAUAUAUGGAUCGAAGACUUGAGGUGGAGAUGAUUGCAGUGAAUUGAACUGAAUUAGUAGUGGAAUAAACCCAGUGGAACUGGGAUGGAAUGAAUAUCUCAUAUGGAAGAGGAAUGAGUGAAGGAACUACCACAGAGAAGGAGAGAAAUGUGAAGGAAGGAGAAGAGGUCUGGAAGUAUGAAAAACAUAUUCUCAUCAUGAAGAAAGAAAAACAUACACAAUUAGAAGGAAAUGAAAACAUUGGAAAUACAAAAAAGGAAAACAUAUGAAGAUAUGAAAAGAAAACAAAAUUGUUCUGCCCGAUGAAUUACUAAUGGUGCUCCCAACAGUAGAAGACUGGAACCAAGUUGAAUUACUUCAGAGACAAAGAAAUGAAGCCAUAUGUUCAAGUAAAUGAGAAUUUGAAAGUGCAAAUUCUAUGCAACCCUUUGAAAAUUAGGAACAAACUUUUUUUCCUGUUCUCCCAUCAUCAUCCCUUGUUUUUUAAUUGUGAAUAGUCUAUUGUUUGUGUAGAAGUAGAACUAGGACAAAGUGGAACUGGAACAUUGUUCCAAGGCACCACAUUUGAACCCAGAGGUGAUAGGAAACCAAGAUGAUGCAAUUAAACCUACUCUAUCAGUUUUGGACCACUUCACAUCCUCUGAUCAAUAACAGAGUCAAAUCUAUUCCAUUCCAUUAGUAUUUAUUAAAUGUUUAUAAUUUACAUGGCACUUGCUGUGGAUAUUGGGGAUGGGUAUAGGGACUAGUACUGUGAUUUCAUUACAAGAAAGAACCUGAUAAAGAAAUUACUUUGACCAACACUUUUCUUCAACUAGGUCUUAUGGAAUUGAUCAAAACACUGAGAAUUAAACUGUAUCUGAA
Long non-coding RNA from Monodelphis domestica (gray short-tailed opossum), 1087 nucleotides. RefSeq lists it as uncharacterized. NCBI's taxonomy places the organism in Eukaryota, Metazoa, Chordata, Mammalia, Didelphimorphia, Didelphidae. The record is from RefSeq and is a predicted model, not a curated record.